AGAUCUGAAAUCAGGUGGGACUACCCGCUGAACUUAAGCAUAUCAAUAAGCGGAGGAAAAGAAACUAACAAGGAUUCCCCUAGUAACGGCGAGUGAAGCGGGAAAAGCUCAAAUUUAAAAUCUGGCAGGUACCCUGUCCGAGUUGUAGUUUCAAGAAGCGUUUUCGGUGCGCGUCCGGGUAUAAGUUCUUUGGAACAGGACAUCAUAGAGGGUGAGAAUCCCGGUUUAUGACCCGGAACUGCGUACUAUGUGAUACGUUUUCUAAGAGUCAGGUUGUUUGGGAAUGCAGCCUAAAAUGGGUGGUAAAUUUCAUCUAAAGCUAAAUAUUGGCGAGAGACCGAUAGCGAACAAGUACCGUGAGGGAAAGAUGAAAAGAACUUUGAAAAGAGAGUUAAACAGUACGUGAAAUUGUUGAAAGGGAAACGUUUGAAAUCAGUCGUGCGGGCGGGUAAUCAGCUUGGCCUUUGGGUCUUGUGCACUUUCUCGUCUCGCAGCCAGCGUCGGUUUUGUUUGCCGGAUAAAUGCCAAAGGAAUGUAGCUCCACCUUUCACGAGGAGGGGUCUUAUAGCCCUGGUAAAUACGGCGGUCGAGACCGAGGUCUGCAGUGGAUGCCUUUCGGGGCUGGGGACUCCAUCGUUCAUUCGCACCCGCGCCUAGACAGCUUGCUGACUAGGUGUGUGGUCUGUGGGUGACACGGUGGCCUACCACACAUCGACUUGGGUCGCUGGCGUAAUGGUUUUAAAUGACCCGUCUUGAAACACGGACCAAGGAGUCUAACAUAUAUGCGAGUGUUUGGGUGGCAAACCCAUGCGCGUAAUGAAAGUGAAUGUAGGUGAGAUCCUCACGGAGNNNCUUCACCGAUCUUGAAAUUUUUGGAUAGAUUUGAGUNANNCNUAUCUGUUGGGACCCGAAAGAUGGUGAACUAUGCCUGAAUAGGG
RNAcentral lists this ribosomal RNA (938 nucleotides) under Jimgerdemannia lactiflua. Its description in RNAcentral is "eukaryotic LSU rRNA". It matches the Rfam family "Eukaryotic large subunit ribosomal RNA", at positions 1 to 846 of the family's 3401-position model. The record is from RNAcentral. Lineage: Eukaryota; Fungi; Mucoromycota; Endogonomycetes; Endogonales; Endogonaceae.